Non-coding RNA from Phascolarctos cinereus (koala), 644 nucleotides. The record is from RefSeq and is a predicted model, not a curated record. NCBI's taxonomy places the organism in Eukaryota, Metazoa, Chordata, Mammalia, Diprotodontia, Phascolarctidae.
GUCGUGGAUGGAACUAGGUGGCUCAGCCUUCCAAAUGCUCGGCACUGUGGCUGCAACCUGGUGGCUUCUGCGGGUAGCCUGGUGGCUGGGCCAUGCCCUGCUGGUCUAUGGGCUGCCCCAGAUUGGCCUGGGCCUUGGCAUUUCUCUCAGGAACAAGGGGCCUGGGCAGUGGUAACCGGGGCCACAAGCGGAAUCGGCAGGAGCUAUGCUCAUGAGCUGGCCCGAAGAGGCCUCAAUGUUGUACUGGUGAGCCGAGAUCUCAGCAAGUUACGUCGGGAGGCAGAGGACAUUGAGAGACUCCAUGGUAAGGAAACAAGAGUCAUCCAGGUGGACUUCAGUGGAGGCUUAGAGAUCUAUGAGACAGUUGAGAGAGGCUUGGAGGGCCUAGACAUCGGCAUUCUAGAGUUUCACAGACAUGAUGAAUUGUAACAUGCUGUCAAUGGUUCAGAUGACCCGGAUCAUCCUGCCUCAGAUGGUAGUCAGGGGACGAGGAGUCAUCAUCAACAUAUCCUCUGAGGCUGGCAGACAGCCUUCCCCAUUCUCGGCAUUAUAUGGGGCUACUAAGGCCUUUAUGAAUAGCUUCUCUCGGGCUGUGGCCUUGGAAUACCAGUCCUCUGGAGUCAUCAUACAGGUAUGGGUGUGGG